Molecule: ribosomal RNA, 492 nt
Filed under: uncultured bacterium
Lineage: Bacteria
Description: partial 16S ribosomal RNA
Rfam family: Bacterial small subunit ribosomal RNA
Source: RNAcentral
AGUGAACGCUGGCGGUAGGCCUAACACAUGCAAGUCGAACGGCAGCACAGUAAGAGCUUGCUCUUACGGGUGGCGAGUGGCGGACGGGUGAGGAAUACAUCGGAAUCUACUUUUUCGUGGGGGAUAACGUAGGGAAACUUACGCUAAUACCGCAUACGACCUACGGGUGAAAGCAGGGGAUCUUCGGACCUUGCGCGAUUGAAUGAGCCGAUGUCGGAUUAGCUAGUUGGCGGGGUAAAGGCCCACCAAGGCGACGAUGCGUAGCUGGUCUGAGAGGAGGAGCGGAGACACGGGGAGUGAGAAACGGCCCAGAGGCCUACGGGAGGCAGGAGGAGGGAAGUUGGGACAAGGGGGGAAAGCCUGAUGGAGCAAUGCGGGGGGGGUGAUGAAGGCAUCCGGGUAGUAAAGCGCUUUUGGCGGGGAAGAAAAGGACUGUGCGAAGACCACGGUAGGAUGACGGGACCCGAAGAAGAAGCAAAGGCUAACUACGUG